This 219-nucleotide ribosomal RNA is filed under the name uncultured bacterium. Its description in RNAcentral is "partial 16S ribosomal RNA". It matches the Rfam family "Bacterial small subunit ribosomal RNA", at positions 30 to 244 of the family's 1533-position model. The record is from RNAcentral.
AUUGAACGCUGGCGGCAGGCCUAACACAUGCAAGUCGAACGGUAGCACAGAGAGCUUGCUCUCGGGUGACGAGUGGCUGACGGGUGAGUAAUGUCUGGGAAACUGCCUGAUGGGAGGGGGAUAACUACUGGAAACGGUAGCUAAUACCGCAUAAUGUCGCAAGACCAAAGAGGGGGACCUUCGGGCCUCUUGCCAUCAGAUGUGCCCAGAUGGGAUUAG